UACGGCCACAUAAUCUUGAAAUACCAGUUCCCGUACGACCACCGAAGUUAAACAACGUCGAGUUUUAUCAGUAUCUACAUGGGUGACCGCUUAGGAAUACAGGUGCAGCAAG
Molecule: non-coding RNA, 112 nt
Organism: Acanthosepion pharaonis
Lineage: Eukaryota; Metazoa; Mollusca; Cephalopoda; Sepiida; Sepiidae
Source: the annotation of a GenBank genome assembly